Molecule: ribosomal RNA, 490 nt
Filed under: Escherichia coli
Lineage: Bacteria; Pseudomonadati; Pseudomonadota; Gammaproteobacteria; Enterobacterales; Enterobacteriaceae
Also listed under: 18 other names
Description: partial 23S ribosomal RNA
Rfam family: Bacterial large subunit ribosomal RNA
Source: RNAcentral
AAGGUUGGCUAAUCCUGGUCGGACAUCAGGAGGUUAGUGCAAUGGCAUAAGCCAGCUUGACUGCGAGCGUGACGGCGCGAGCAGGUGCGAAAGCAGGUCAUAGUGAUCCGGUGGUUCUGAAUGGAAGGGCCAUCGCUCAACGGAUAAAAGGUACUCCGGGGAUAACAGGCUGAUACCGCCCAAGAGUUCAUAUCGACGGCGGUGUUUGGCACCUCGAUGUCGGCUCAUCACAUCCUGGGGCUGAAGUAGGUCCCAAGGGUAUGGCUGUUCGCCAUUUAAAGUGGUACGCGAGCUGGGUUUAGAACGUCGUGAGACAGUUCGGUCCCUAUCUGCCGUGGGCGCUGGAGAACUGAGGGGGGCUGCUCCUAGUACGAGAGGACCGGAGUGGACGCAUCACUGGUGUUCGGGUUGUCAUGCCAAUGGCACUGCCCGGUAGCUAAAUGCGGAAGAGAUAAGUGCUGAAAGCAUCUAAGCACGAAACUUGCCCCGA